AAAAGCUGGGUUGAGAGGGCGA
This 22-nucleotide microRNA is filed under the name Dasypus novemcinctus (nine-banded armadillo). RNAcentral describes it as "Dno-Mir-320_3p (mature (guide))". Lineage: Eukaryota; Metazoa; Chordata; Mammalia; Cingulata; Dasypodidae. RNAcentral also lists the same sequence under 24 other names. The record is from RNAcentral.